ACGAACGCUGGCGGCGUGCUUAACACAUGCAAGUCGAACGGAAAGGCCCUGCUUUUGUGGGGUGCUCGAGUGGCGAACGGGUGAGUAACACGUGAGUAACCUGCCCUUGACUUUGGGAUAACUUCAGGAAAUUGGGGCUAAUACCGGAUAGGAGCUCCUGCUGCAUGGUGGGGGUUGGAAAGUUUCGGCGGUUGGGGAUGGACUCGCGGCUUAUCAGCUUGUUGGUGGGGUAGUGGCUUACCAAGGCUUUGACGGGUAGCCGGCCUGAGAGGGUGACCGGCCACAUUGGGACUGAGAUACGGCCCAGACUCCUACGGGAGGCAGCAGUGGGGAAUAUUGCACAAUGGGCGGAAGCCUGAUGCAGCAACGCCGCGUGCGGGAUGACGGCCUUCGGGUUGUAAACCGCUUUCGCCUGUGACGAAGCGUGAGUGACGGUAAUGGGUAAAGAAGCACCGGCUAACUACGUG
Molecule: ribosomal RNA, 467 nt
Filed under: uncultured bacterium
Lineage: Bacteria
Description: partial 16S ribosomal RNA
Rfam family: Bacterial small subunit ribosomal RNA
Source: RNAcentral